GACGAACGCUGGCGGCAUGCCUAAUACAUGCAAGUCGAGCGAACAGAUGAAGUGCUUGCACUUCUGACGUUAGCGGCGAACGGGUGAGUAACACGUAAGGAAUCUACCUAGAAGCGGGGGAUAACAUUCGGAAACGGGUGCUAAUACCGCAUAAUAGCUUCUUCCGCAGGGAAGAAGAUUGAAAGACGGCUCGGCUGUCACGUAUAGAUGACCUUGCGGUGCAUUAGUUAGUUGGUGGGGUAAUGGCCUACCAAGACGAUGAUGCAUAGCCGACCUGAGAGGUUGAUCGGCCACAUUGGGACUGAGACACGGCCCAAACUCCUACGGGAGGCAGCAGUAGGGAAUCUUCCGCAAUGGGCGAAAGCCUGACGGAGCAAUGCCGCGUGAGUGAAGAAGGCCUUCGGGUCGUAAAACUCUGUUAUAAGAGAAGAACAAAUUGUAGAGUAACUGCUACAGUCUUGACGGUAUCUUAUCAGAAAGCCACGGCUAACUACGUGCCAGCAGCCGCGGUAA
RNAcentral lists this ribosomal RNA (513 nucleotides) under uncultured bacterium. RNAcentral describes it as "partial 16S ribosomal RNA". It matches the Rfam family "Bacterial small subunit ribosomal RNA", at positions 28 to 523 of the family's 1533-position model. The record is from RNAcentral.